This 1457-nucleotide ribosomal RNA is filed under the name Salmonella enterica subsp. enterica serovar Schwarzengrund. RNAcentral's name for it is "bacterial SSU rRNA". It matches the Rfam family "Bacterial small subunit ribosomal RNA". Lineage: Bacteria; Pseudomonadati; Pseudomonadota; Gammaproteobacteria; Enterobacterales; Enterobacteriaceae. The record is from RNAcentral.
ACGAGUGGCGGACGGGUGAGUAAUGUCUGGGAAACUGCCUGAUGGAGGGGGAUAACUACUGGAAACGGUGGCUAAUACCGCAUGAUGUCGCAAGUCCAAAGAGGGGGACCUUCGGGCCUCUUGCCAUCAGAUGUGCCCAGAUGGGAUUAGCUUGUUGGUGAGGUAACGGCUCACCAAGGCGACGAUCCCUAGCUGGUCUGAGAGGAUGACCAGCCACACUGGAACUGAGACACGGUCCAGACUCCUACGGGAGGCAGCAGUGGGGAAUAUUGCACAAUGGGCGCAAGCCUGAUGCAGCCAUGCCGCGUGUAUGAAGAAGGCCUUCGGGUUGUAAAGUACUUUCAGCGGGGAGGAAGGUGUUGUGGUUAAUAACCGCAGCAAUUGACGUUACCCGCAGAAGAAGCACCGGCUAACUCCGUGCCAGCAGCCGCGGUAAUACGGAGGGUGCAAGCGUUAAUCGGAAUUACUGGGCGUAAAGCGCACGCAGGCGGUCUGUCAAGUCGGAUGUGAAAUCCCCGGGCUCAACCUGGGAACUGCAUUCGAAACUGGCAGGCUUGAGUCUUGUAGAGGGGGGUAGAAUUCCAGGUGUAGCGGUGAAAUGCGUAGAGAUCUGGAGGAAUACCGGUGGCGAAGGCGGCCCCCUGGACAAAGACUGACGCUCAGGUGCGAAAGCGUGGGGAGCAAACAGGAUUAGAUACCCUGGUAGUCCACGCCGUAAACGAUGUCUACUUGGAGGUUGUGCCCUUGAGGCGUGGCUUCCGGAGCUAACGCGUUAAGUAGACCGCCUGGGGAGUACGGCCGCAAGGUUAAAACUCAAAUGAAUUGACGGGGGCCCGCACAAGCGGUGGAGCAUGUGGUUUAAUUCGAUGCAACGCGAAGAACCUUACCUGGUCUUGACAUCCACAGAACUUUCCAGAGAUGGAUUGGUGCCUUCGGGAACUGUGAGACAGGUGCUGCAUGGCUGUCGUCAGCUCGUGUUGUGAAAUGUUGGGUUAAGUCCCGCAACGAGCGCAACCCUUAUCCUUUGUUGCCAGCGGUCCGGCCGGGAACUCAAAGGAGACUGCCAGUGAUAAACUGGAGGAAGGUGGGGAUGACGUCAAGUCAUCAUGGCCCUUACGACCAGGGCUACACACGUGCUACAAUGGCGCAUACAAAGAGAAGCGACCUCGCGAGAGCAAGCGGACCUCAUAAAGUGCGUCGUAGUCCGGAUUGGAGUCUGCAACUCGACUCCAUGAAGUCGGAAUCGCUAGUAAUCGUGGAUCAGAAUGCCACGGUGAAUACGUUCCCGGGCCUUGUACACACCGCCCGUCACACCAUGGGAGUGGGUUGCAAAAGAAGUAGGUAGCUUAACCUUCGGGAGGGCGCUUACCACUUUGUGAUUCAUGACUGGGGUGAAGUCGUAACAAGGUAACCGUAGGGGAACCUGCGGUUGGAUCACCUCCUUACCUUAAAGAAGC